ACUUAAAUUGAAGAGUUUGAUCAUGGCUCAGAUUGAACGCUGGCGGCAGGCCUAACACAUGCAAGUCGAGCGGCAGCGGAAAGUAGCUUGCUACUUUGCCGGCGAGCGGCGGACGGGUGAGUAAUGUCUGGGAAACUGCCUGAUGG
This 146-nucleotide ribosomal RNA is filed under the name Enterobacter sp. ku-bf2. RNAcentral's name for it is "partial 16S ribosomal RNA". It matches the Rfam family "Bacterial small subunit ribosomal RNA", at positions 1 to 136 of the family's 1533-position model. The record is from RNAcentral. Lineage: Bacteria; Pseudomonadati; Pseudomonadota; Gammaproteobacteria; Enterobacterales; Enterobacteriaceae.